AUGGCCGUACCAUGCGGAAUAUACCGGUUCUCGUUAGAUCACCGAAGUUAAGCAUCAUUGGGCGUGGUCAGUACUUGGGUGGGUGACCACCUGGGAACACUGCGUGCCGUU
This 111-nucleotide ribosomal RNA is filed under the name Caerostris darwini. The record is from RNAcentral. Lineage: Eukaryota; Metazoa; Arthropoda; Arachnida; Araneae; Araneidae.